UCAAGUUGGAAAUAUGACACCUCAAGAAAAAAAAAAUAGGGUUCAAGUGAAAAUAAAGUUUAAGAAUAAGAUUCAUAAUGUCUAUAAGUAAAACCUUCAAAAGAAAAAAUUAUUUAUGAAAUAUACAAGUAAAUUUAGAUCUCAUAAAGCAUUAAAAAACGAAUAAUAGCGACACAAACAAGCAGAUCGAACCGAGAAAUCUUUCCUUCUUCUCCGAUUUUCUUGGUAAUCCGGCGACGACCUAACAUUUCGGUUCUACUCUCAUCUCUCAAUCCGAUUCACUAAUCGAAUCUCAGGCAGGUUAUUCUUUUCCAAUCGGACAUCUUUUUGCAACUAUUCUUUGAAGAUAUUGUCAUUUUGGAGGUUUCCAUACUCGUUUUAGGGUUUUUCGUGGUCGGAGAGAAAUCUGUAUCUCCGUUCUGUUAUUAUGAUCACGCGCUCAAAGCUCGUAGAGCAACUCCGAGAUAGCCAGAUCCGAUCUCAGCACAAGUGGUCUCCUCUCGUUAUCUUCUCCCCCAAACCAAAUCUCUCCUCCUGGAUUGAUGUUGGUGUGGCAAUUUUCUGGCUGAUUGUGCUCAUUAUCCUUGUAACAUCAUCAUACAUGACACUCUAUUUGAGACAUUAUUGGCUUUCAUUUAUCAUCAUUUGCCUUUCUAUUUCAAUUCCAAUUCGCUUGAGGAUUUCUAGGCAAACAAUCGCAAGAAAAAAAGACAGAAGAUUGCUUCUGCCUUUGUCCAUGUAACAAACAAAUUAAUUUAAUCAUUAAUACAUGCUUUUGUUCGCCUAUAUGUACAAAACAUAAUUAUAUUACAUUACUUUCACAUGUACAUUUGACUAAUAAUUUUUCAUCUUUUUUA
Molecule: non-coding RNA, 857 nt
Organism: Lactuca sativa (garden lettuce)
Lineage: Eukaryota; Viridiplantae; Streptophyta; Magnoliopsida; Asterales; Asteraceae
Source: RefSeq, a predicted model, not a curated record